RNAcentral lists this ribosomal RNA (468 nucleotides) under uncultured bacterium. Its description in RNAcentral is "partial 16S ribosomal RNA". It matches the Rfam family "Bacterial small subunit ribosomal RNA", at positions 28 to 507 of the family's 1533-position model. The record is from RNAcentral.
GACGAACGCUGGCGGCGUGCUUAACACAUGCAAGUCGAACGGAAAGGCCCUGCUUUUGUGGGGUGCUCGAGUGGCGAACGCGUGAGUAACACGUGAGUAACCUGCCCUUGACUUUGGGAUAACUUCAGGAAACUGGGGCUAAUACCGGAUAGGAGCUCCUGCUGCAUGGUGGGGGUUGGAAAGUUUCGGCGGUUGGGGAUGGACUCGCGGCUUAUCAGCUUGUUGGUGGGGUAGUGGCUUACCAAGGCUUUGACGGGUAGCCGGCCUGAGAGGGUGAACGGGCACAUUGGGACUGAGAUACGGCCCAGACUCCUACGGGAGGCAGCAGGGGGAAAUAUUGCACAAUGGGCGGAAGCCUGAUGCAGCAACGCCGGGUGCGGGAUGACGGCCUUCGGGUUGUAAACCGCUUUCGCCUGUGACGAAGCGUGAGUGACGGUAAUGGGUAAAGAAGCACCGGCUAACUACGUG